This 300-nucleotide long non-coding RNA is filed under the name Zostera marina. RNAcentral's name for it is "long non-coding RNA (ZMAR_LNC002360)". Lineage: Eukaryota; Viridiplantae; Streptophyta; Magnoliopsida; Alismatales; Zosteraceae. The record is from RNAcentral.
AGAUACCUCAAGGAUCUAGAAGGCCUUCUCCUGGUACAGGAGGAAGAUGCAAGGCAGAGGAGUAGGGCAAAUUGGUUGCGACUGGGGGAUAAGAACACGAAAUUCUUUGCGGCCAUGACAAGGCAAAGACAAACCCUAAACUCCCUGUACAAAAUGCUGGGACCGAAUGGUAGGGUGGUGGUAUCUAGAAGUGAGAUAGAGGCAAAAACGCUGGACCACUUCCAGACACUAUUUGCUGAGGGGGAGGAGGCCUUAAGUACCGAAACCAGAAACUUCGUUAAAAAGGUUACGUCCGGAAUU